UGCAGCACAUUGCGAACCUUGCUGGGAACAAAACUCUAGUUUUGCCUGUGCCUGCAUUUAACGUCAUCAAUGGAGGAUCACAUGGUUUCACUGUCAACCUGAAUUUUACGAACCUUGUUGGGAACAGAACUCGGACAUGUUUCCAAGGGUGUAAAACCCAAAGGCAGGGGAGCUUCGAAGAAGGCUCCUGCUAGAAAGCAGAAAAUGCCAACUGCCGUUGAUAGUGAAGAGGAAGAUGAUAAGGAGCUUGAACUGAAAGAACAACUGGCAGCGUAUAACAUUGAUUCUCCUUCAGAUCAAACAGGUAUAUGAUCAUCCAUAAGCAGUAAGCUUUCGGAUCAAAGCGAAGCUAAGAAUAGGGUGUUAGUUGAUUGCGAAUUGAUAACCAGUAGAUGCACAUCCAUGGAGUUUUUGCUUGCGCUUGUUGAGAAGCUAUUUGGCUGCGAGAAGGCAUUGAAUCUUGUUGUUAAU
This is a long non-coding RNA of Magnolia sinica, 471 nucleotides long. RefSeq lists it as uncharacterized. NCBI's taxonomy places the organism in Eukaryota, Viridiplantae, Streptophyta, Magnoliopsida, Magnoliales, Magnoliaceae. The record is from RefSeq and is a predicted model, not a curated record. The transcript has 3 exons.